AAGUCGUAACAAGGUUUCCGUAGGUGAACCUGCGGAAGGAUCAUUACUUAACCGGGGCCGUUCCGCCCUCAGGCAGCACGUCCGGUGUGCGUUAGUCCUGUUGGCCCGGCCUGACUGCCACCUUGCCCACCGCACCUUUGUUGUUUCCUCGGUCAGGCUGCCUGCCGAAAGGAACCUACAACCCUUCUGAAUUAGAAAUUACACUCUGAUAACCACUAAAUUAAACAACUUUUAACAAUGGAUCUCUUGGUUCUG
This 255-nucleotide unclassified non-coding RNA is filed under the name fungal sp. RNAcentral describes it as "partial internal transcribed spacer region". The stretch from base 1 to 46 matches the Rfam family "Eukaryotic small subunit ribosomal RNA", at positions 1786 to 1831 of the family's 1831-position model. Lineage: Eukaryota; Fungi. The record is from RNAcentral.